CGCGCAGGCGGUCUGUUAAGUCAGAUGUGAAAGCCCACGGCUUAACCGUGGAAGUGCAUUUGAAACUGGCAGACUUGAGUAUCAGAGGGGAAGGUGGAAUUCCCGGUGUAGAGGUGAAAUUCGUAGAUAUCGGGAGGAAUACCGGUGGCGAAGGCGACUUUCUGGCUGAAUACUGACGCUGAGGCGCGAAAGCGUGGGGAGCAAACAGGAUUAGAUACCCUGGUAGUCC
Molecule: ribosomal RNA, 229 nt
Filed under: uncultured bacterium
Lineage: Bacteria
Description: partial 16S ribosomal RNA
Rfam family: Bacterial small subunit ribosomal RNA
Source: RNAcentral